CAUUAAGGGGUCCUUAUUUUCUUGGUAUUAGGACCUUUCAAGUAGGGGCACCAAAUUUCACAGGGAAUGGCCCAAAGAGCUAGAGAAAUAGAAAAUAAUCUCUUAACCAGCGAGAGUUUCAUAGAAACCCUUGCUGCAGCAUGCGACAGAAUACCGUGUUAUGGCUCAAUGGCAAGCUCCAGCGCACACCAAACUACGGAGGAAGAGGUCUGCACGCUAUUUCGCCGAGGCUCUCAACCAGGCGAACGUUUCCCUGCUCACCUAUGGUGAACUAGGCUGCUGUUGCUGCCCUCAGUGACGACAGCCUUCUUGCCCCGGCACCCAGAAAAGCAGGAGACAACUACGCAUCCACCUCCUCAGGAAGCCUUUGUUCUUUGGGGCUCCUCUAGAGCGUUCAAGACCAAAGACUCCAUGGACCUGACACUGCUGCUUGCUUGCGGUCAGCCGACUCAGCAAAUUCUUGUUCUUCAGAACCUUUCUCAAGAUCCUCCAAGGCUUGAAGAAGCUCCAGGUUGGCUGGCACAUGCCCCCGCAAGCUUUGUGUCCCCGUAAAAAGUUCUCUCCUCUGGGAGGGCUUCAGCCGCCAUUCAUAUGCUUCCCUACCAUUGUCCACCAUGUCGCAAAACAUUUUCGCCUUGAUGCUCUUUUCCAGCAUGGUAGCAGAGGGCAACCCCCGGCUCCCAAAGAUGCUGUGGGCCAGUUCCAGCUCACAGCGCGAGGGGAAGAGGGUCCGGCCGAGGGCCAUUUCCCCCAUCACGCAGGCUAAAGACCACAUGUUGAUCUUUGCUGUGCAGGGAUAGACCAGUAGGACCCCAGGAGCUCUGUCGAAUCUGAAAGAGUAAACAAUUGCAGAGGUAGACAAAUUAUUUUUAAAACAGGAAGUCUGCAUUUUCAGAGCAAAUAGCUGUCCUCAGUCCCCGUGCCUACUUCUACACGCAAUUUCCACUCAAGAUGCAAAAAUAUUAUUGCAUAUCCAGGUUACUGUUUUGGACUAAAUCGUGUUUUCAUAGUAAAGUUUCGUGCUAUUUUUCUCCACAAGUUGGGAAUGUUCAAUCGUACACAGUGGAGCUGAGAACACAUUUUUCAUUUAUUCACAGCUCUAUUGCGCCUCCAUGAGUUUAAAUUGGGCCUGUCCUAAACUAAUACAAAGUGGCCCACAUUGUAGGCCAGCGUAAUGCUUUCCACAUUUUCAAGUGUUUGAUGUAAAACAUCUUAACUUUUGUAGCUUUGUGGUCUGAACACAAUUAGCCUACCCAGGAUAACUGAAAUCCCAAUUUAGCUUAAUUUUCUGUACGUACUGCUAGUAAAGUGAGUUGUUUAUGUCAAAGAAUAAAUGUUCUGACAUUUACAGCAAAUGUCAUGCGAACCUGGGCUGAAUGUAGGGCAUCCACAUUGAAGCCAGGUCAUGGGCAGUUUUGGCGGAGCCAAAGUCCACCAGUUUUACUCGUAAUGGCUGAUGGCGCUUGAUGUUUUCCUGCUUGAUGUCCGCGUGAACGAUACCCAUAUCUUUCAGUUUGGCCAGGGCUGUGACCACCUGGCGAACAACCGUCCAGAUGUCCCGUAUUUUAAACUUCUUCAGCGGCUUUCUGGAAGGCAUCCAGGGUCUGGUCCAUUACCUCUUCCACCAAGUAAAUGUGAAACUCGUCCGCGAAAGCUUCGUAAAAGCGAACGGUGUGGUGAUCAAAAGCAUUCUCGACCGUUAGAGCAGCGAGAGGUCGUGCUUGUUGAAUGCAUAUCCUCAUGUGAACACGGGGUAUUCUCUUCACGGCCACCAUUUUCUGGUCACUCCGACGCUGGAACCUGGCGACCUCGGCGAACAUACCAUGGCCUAAGCUCUCUACAAAAUCGUACUCUUCGGUGUCUGAGGACAACAUGCUGAAAGCUUUGUCCUGCCGCAAAGAACGUGACUUUGUACAAGGUACAAGUAACUUUACUUGUUUUUGUGUGAAAUUUAUAUAUGGAAUUUCUAACGCGUUGAUAUUCCACAUGGACUUCUCUUGCGUCACAUGUUAGUUGUAAUAACUAAAAAAUGUAUUCAAUGAAUGGAAAACAUCAAGCAAAAAUGAACUUCCAAUAUAUAAAAAAAUCUGUUAAAAUUGUGUACUGCUUCUUGGACUCCUGGAUAGCCCCAGAUCCAGAAUUUAAAUUAAGCAGGGUGAAUUUAACUAAAUUAGUUGAGAAUUAAAUCACUAUUCCUACCUAUGAAUUGUGCCUGGGGUCCAAGUACCACCACCAAAUGCUCACAUAUCACUGUGAAUGUAAGUUUAGAAGUACAGUAAAAAUAUGCCUGUGACCCCUGCACAUGACAUUAUCUGACAUGGAUGUCAGUGUAUUCUCUCUACUACCAAAUAUCAACUUUUUGAAACUGUAAACGAUGCUGAUGCACCUUUAUUAAAAAUAAAAGAAAAUGCUUCCAAA
Molecule: long non-coding RNA, 2418 nt
Organism: Anguilla anguilla (European eel)
Lineage: Eukaryota; Metazoa; Chordata; Actinopteri; Anguilliformes; Anguillidae
Exons: 2
Source: RefSeq, a predicted model, not a curated record